AGAAGAUAAACACUUCUUUUUUUUCCCCCAAAACUUAAAUUGCUCGACCCACACCACGCGACAAUCAUGCACGGAUUCAAAUUUUAUCAGCAAAUAAAAACGUACUUGCAAUCAGGCAUGUAUGAUUCCAGUUGUACAAAAGUCGAUAGAUGGAGUAUUAGACGCUCAGCAAAUAAUUUCAUCUUGAAAGAUGACAGACUGUACUACACUGGCCCAAAAGACAAUUUCAUGCGGCUGGUUGUAAUGGAUGGUGACGAAAUGAGGGCAGUUUUGCACGAAUGCCAUGAUCAGAAUGGCAACGGGAAUCACAGCGGUGUCAGACGCACCAUCGACCGUGUGGUGGCUGGCUACUACUGGCAUAGUAUUAAGCAGGAUGUUGCUGACUGGGUCAGAGGCUGUAUCUCAUGCCAGUUGAACAACUCACUAAAAACAGUGACACAAACAAACCAUCCCAUCAAGGUGGACGAAAACUGGAGUGUGGUUGUCAUGGACCUGAUUGGCCCGCUCAAGGAGACGGACAGAAACAAUCAAUAUAUUCUGAUGAUAACUGAUUUGUUUAGUAACUUUGUUGUUGCUGAACCACUAGGAUCCAAGUCUGCUGUUGAGGUUUCAGCAGCACUUGUGUCAAAAUUCUAUUUGUAUGGCAUAGUCGACAAAAUAAUAUUUGAUCAAGGUGGAAAGUUUGUGAAUGAGCUGAACAAAGAGAUCUUCACGCUCCUGAAUAUAAAACAGGCUGUGUCAAGCACCUGCAAUUACCAAAUCAACGAGGAGGACAAACUUAUUCAUCAAAAUACUAAAUGUGCUAUCGAGCGCUUUGCCAAUGAGCCUCACAAUGACUGGGACCUUCACCUGCAAGCUGUGGUGUAUGGCAUAAAUACUGUCGAGCAGCGCCCCUUGAGGAAAAGCCCAUUUUCCCUUUUCUUUCAUCGUCGUCACCGCCUUCCUAAGGUUUUGAAGACUUGUCCCAAGGGUGACAAAACUGAGGUUGGGGACCAAGAGGAACCCCUGGAAGCGAGGAUCAGAUCUAUUACAGAUCUCAAUAAAAAGGUUCUUGGAAACAUAGAAAAAGCCCAACAGCAGCUGAAGAAUAACUUUUUUCCAUCACAUAAGAGGAGCAGCGAUUCCUUCAUUAAAGAAGAUGACGUUCUCCUGUCCGAAGAUCUAAAGAGGCAGAAAAUCACACCCGGCUUGAUGUCUCUUCAUAAAAGUCCAUGUAGCGUCAUCAACCUGCCUGACAAAGGAGUGGUCACUGUAGAAAAGGAGAGUUGGACCAUGCCGACAGUCGAUUCGAAUUCUUUGAGGAUAGAACCGCCCGAUAUACAAAAAUAUAAACUGAUGGGGGGUUUUGAGCCUGAGGACCAUUCAUAUGCUCUUACUGAUCCAAAGCAUGACCAUGCAGAUCCUCAUUCCACUCAAAAGUGCCUGGACAACUUUGACCCUCUUCAAGAUGAGCAUAUAAACCACGCCCUGCAUCAAAGUUGGACUAUGGAUGGACAAAAUGGGAGCUGACCUUAAUGCGAGUCUUGCUGAGGAUUCUUUGCUUUGUAAUAUUGUAAGUCAAUCUUUAACGUAUAGUUGAACUGUGCUUGUUUUAUUUUUUGAUUCCUACAGAAUUUUCCUUGGCAGAGCUCUAGUAAUUCCUGUGGAAUUUUUAAGACUGAUGGUAUGGCCACGGGUUGGCUUAGUGGACCAUCCUGUCUUCUGGCGGAACUUGAGCCCAUCUUCUAGGUUUCAAAAUCUUCAACCAAACCACAACAUGGAGCCAGUGAAAUGCAGCGUUGCUGAGAGGGAAAGUGUCAACCAUCUUUUGAAGGGGUAAAAAACAGCAGGAGAUCUUUGGGAUCGCUGGGAAGACACAAAAUAAAGACCAGGCUGAAUCGGUAUCAGCCUUCAUAAUAAAUAAUAUAAUAAUAAACAAUUACAUUAAAAUUGACUCACUGUACUCUUUUUGUUCUAAUUAAGACGACUUAUAUAUAUAUGUAUUAAACCCCUAGUUGUGUAUACUUGCAGACAAAACGGGUAAUCGUGGAAUGUUAUUUCGUUUCAAAAUAAUUCAAACUUGAGCGUUCCCUCGAUCUCGUGCCUUGUUUUGAAAUAUGUGAUUGGUUGAUGUGACGCUCUCGCGAGAACGCCAUAACCAAUAAGAGUGCAGCAGCACUUACUCAAAUGGGAUGUUUGAAUGUCCAAGUCCAGUGACCGGUUUUGUUGCUUUUUGGCUCAUCGAACUCAUCCGAGAUUACAAUACACGUUCAACGGAGGGGAUAAACCAGUGAAACCUCUUGAGGUUGUGGCUGCAUCAUGAGCAACACUACUGUUUCAAAAAAAAAUCCAGCCAACAUCAAAG
Syngnathus typhle (broad-nosed pipefish) is the source of this 2344-nucleotide RNA transcript. It is a transcript of the gene named cytoskeleton-associated protein 2, with no coding region annotated. The transcript is spliced from 13 exons. The record is from RefSeq and is a predicted model, not a curated record. Lineage: Eukaryota; Metazoa; Chordata; Actinopteri; Syngnathiformes; Syngnathidae.